RNAcentral lists this ribosomal RNA (391 nucleotides) under uncultured bacterium. RNAcentral describes it as "bacterial SSU rRNA". It matches the Rfam family "Bacterial small subunit ribosomal RNA", at positions 28 to 445 of the family's 1533-position model. The record is from RNAcentral.
GAUGAACGCUGGCGGUAUGCUUUACACAUGCAAGUCGUACGAGAGUUUUGAACUCAAGUGGCGGACGGGUGAGUAACACGUAAGAAUUUGCCUUUAGGAGGGGGACAACAACUGGAAACGGUUGCUAAUACCCCAUAUGCUUUCGAGUGAAACGGUUUUUCCGCCUAAAGAGAAGCUUGCGGCUGAUUAGCUUGUUGGUAAGGUAAUGGCUUACCAAGGCGACGAUCAGUAUCUGGUUUGAGAGGACGAUCAGACACACUGGAACUGAGACACGGUCCAGACUCCUACGGGAGGCAGCAGUGGGGAAUUUUCCGCAAUGGGCGAAAGCCUGACGGAGCAAUACCGCGUGAGGGAUGAAGGCCUAUGGGUUGUAAACCUCUUUUUUCAGGGA